RNAcentral lists this ribosomal RNA (406 nucleotides) under uncultured bacterium. RNAcentral describes it as "partial 16S ribosomal RNA". It matches the Rfam family "Bacterial small subunit ribosomal RNA", at positions 29 to 526 of the family's 1533-position model. The record is from RNAcentral.
AUUGAACGCUGGCGGCAGGCCUAACACAUGCAAGUCGAGCGAGCGGCGGACGGGUGAGUAAUGUCUGGGAAACUGCCUGAUGGAGGGGGAUAACUACUGGAAACGGUAGCUAAUACCGCAUACCAUCAGAUGUGCCCAGAUGGGAUUAGCUAGUAGGUGGGGUAACGGCUCACCUAGGCGACGAUCCCUAGCUGGUCUGAGAGGAUGACCAGCCACACUGGGACGGGGACACGGUCCAGAUUCCUAGGGGAGGGCGCAGGGGGGAAUAUUGCACAAUGGGCGCAAGCCGGAUGCAGCCAGGCCGCGUGUGUGAAGAAGGCCUGCGGGUGGUAAAGGAGGUGCAGCGGGGAGGCGUUAACCGCAGAAGAAGCACAGGCUAACUCCGUGCCAGCAGCCGCGGUAAUAC